Molecule: non-coding RNA, 225 nt
Organism: Pelobates cultripes (western spadefoot toad)
Lineage: Eukaryota; Metazoa; Chordata; Amphibia; Anura; Pelobatidae
Source: the annotation of a GenBank genome assembly
CUGUGACUGGCUGUGUGGGACAGUGUGUCUGUGUGUGACUGUCUGCAUGUGACUAUGUGUGUGUGACAGUGUGCCUGUGAUUGGGGGAUGCUGCCUUUAACUGUGUGUGUGGCUAUCUGCAUGUGACUGUCUGCGUGUGUGUGUGACUUUCUGCCUGUAACUAUGUGUGUGACUGUGUGCGAGUGACUAUGUGCCUGGGACUGGUCUCUGAAAACUGUUGCUAAU